UUUGCUGACGAGUGGCGGACGGGUGAGUAAUGUCUGGGAAACUGCCUGAUGGAGGGGGAUAACUACUGGAAACGGUAGCUAAUACCGCAUAACGUCGCAAGACCAAAGAGGGGGACCUUCGGGCCUCUUGCCAUCGGAUGUGCCCAGAUGGGAUUAGCUAGUAGGUGGGGUAACGGCUCACCUAGGCGACGAUCCCUAGCUGGUCUGAGAGGAUGACCAGCCACACUGGAACUGAGACACGGUCCAGACUCCUACGGGAGGCAGCAGUGGGGAAUAUUGCACAAUGGGCGCAAGCCUGAUGCAGCCAUGCCGCGUGUAUGAAGAAGGCCUUCGGGUUGUAAAGUACUUUCAGCGGGGAGGAAGGGAGUAAAGUUAAUACCUUUGCUCAUUGACGUUACCCGCAGAAGAAGCACCGGCUAACUCCGUGCCAGCAGCCGCGGUAAUACGGAGGGUGCAAGCGUUAAUCGGAAUUACUGGGCGUAAAGCGCACGCAGGCGGUUUGUUAAGUCAGAUGUGAAAUCCCCCCGGGCU
This 531-nucleotide ribosomal RNA is filed under the name uncultured Escherichia sp. RNAcentral's name for it is "bacterial SSU rRNA". It matches the Rfam family "Bacterial small subunit ribosomal RNA", at positions 84 to 611 of the family's 1533-position model. The record is from RNAcentral. Lineage: Bacteria; Pseudomonadati; Pseudomonadota; Gammaproteobacteria; Enterobacterales; Enterobacteriaceae.